This 107-nucleotide small nuclear RNA is filed under the name Canis lupus familiaris (dog). Lineage: Eukaryota; Metazoa; Chordata; Mammalia; Carnivora; Canidae. The record is from RNAcentral.
GUGCUCACUUCGGCAGUACACAUAUUAAAAUUGGAAUGAUACAGAGAAGAUUAGCAUGGCCCCUGCACAAGGAUGACAUGCAAGUUCAUGAAGCGUUCCAUAUUUCU